This is a long non-coding RNA of Oncorhynchus mykiss (rainbow trout), 2802 nucleotides long. RefSeq lists it as uncharacterized. NCBI's taxonomy places the organism in Eukaryota, Metazoa, Chordata, Actinopteri, Salmoniformes, Salmonidae. The record is from RefSeq and is a predicted model, not a curated record.
UUGAAUCACGCAGUCCAAAACAAACCAGUUGGCGAUCACAUAUAAAUUUAGGCUGAUAAAGAUUGGUAUUCAAGGUUUUCGUCUCGUGUAGGCAAGAGUUGCAAUUUCCGAUGAACACCCAAUAUCCUGAGUUUCACAACAGCUUUAGAAAUGGAGGAAACCACGUUUAGCUACAAUUUUAUUCCGAGUCGAAGGGUGGAUGAAGUGAUCGACGUGAUGCGAUCUAGUUUUACACAACUUCAAAAACAACUGAACGGAUCUUUACAUAUGUCAGAGGAAGUUGUGGUUUUAUUUCUGUCCAUCUCUGAAGUGCCGUUGGCUCGUUGUAUGGGUUCUCUGCAAAAAGCGUUACUGGCGGAGAUAACCAAGCUGUCGAAAAUUCAGGUCGCCGACGUUCUUACCGGGAAAGGUCCAGUACCGAGAACGGAGAGAGCAGAGUACUUCAGUUAGCGGCGGAAGAAGCUGAAAAUGAAGAUGUCAGUUACGACAACGAUGGCACAGACACAGGUCACAUGUAGACCACAGUGAUACCAAAGCAGACCCAGAUCCAUCAUACUGUGGCAGUGGAUCAAGCCUCCACCACACAUGUAGUCGUCUGUGGCCAUAUGUUCAGGACAGGGUGAUGCACCUAGUGUCCACACGGGAGAGAAGCCUUACUCCUGCUCCGACUGCAACAAGACCUUCCACAGACAGGUAGGAACUGGGUAGAAGUAGUAAGACAUGAUUUCAUCUUGUGGUGAGAGUGAUAAGCUCUUUGGGUAGGUUGGCACUCAGCUAGUUCCAUUCUAUUUUUAUUGGUCGACAUGAAUCUAACACAAACUACUACAGGGGGGGGCUCCGCCUGCCCGGGCACCUUCUUCCGUUCUGACGGAUGCAAGCAACACAUGCUCACCCACCAAGAGGACAGGCCCAAGCCGUACAUGUGCUCACACUGCGGCAAAUUCUUCUCCAAUGCCACGGCAGUCGCCGCCCACGAGCGAGAAGCCGUUUCGGUGCCCGUACUGUGAGAAGACGUUUGCGACCGCCGGUAUGACGAAGGCGCACGCCCUGUGCCACCUGACUGAGCAACCUCACCCGUGUCCCCAGUGUGACAAGAGCUUCAGAACAGUGUAUGAUCUGAAGGGCCUUGUGGUGAUAAAAGGCCCUUCCUGUGUGAGAAGUGUCCCAAGGCCUUCAGGACAGCCAGGAUUCUGCAUAACCACAAGGUCCACCACAUGGAGGACAGUGACCACGCCUUUGAGGACUGCAACAAGACACCCCUUCACCUGAAGCUCCACUCAGAGGACAAGCCCUCUGUCUGUCCAGACCGUGGCAAGGGAUUCCUCUGGCUCGACCGCCUCCACCGCCGUACCCACGUUACAGAGCCCAAGUCCGGGAAGAUCCACGUGCCUGCGGGCGUUCACCAGGGAGUGACACCUUAAUGUUGAGCACGGCGUCGAACCGUCCACCCCCGUGGGUCAAAGUUGAACUGUCAUCUGGAUUGGAGGCGAAGACUAGGACAGUCCAGGUCAAACCGCCUUCGUUCAGGUGUUUUACAGGUCUGAACUGGAUCACCACAGCUGUGACGAGGAGACGGAGACAUAGACAGUUCCAGCAGAAGAGGAGGAUCACAAUGAAGAAGUCAGAGCAGUUUGAUGUUGAAAGAAGAAAACGUGUUCCCGUCUUAUAAACUACUUCUGUCAGUGUCUAGUAGUACACUCCAUAGACACCAGCUUGUGUCAGGUAGCAGGGAAUACAGGUCUAGGACCAGUUGUUAGAACGCAUCUUGUCAGCACCAAGAACAGGUCUAGGACCAGUUAGACUGCAGCUUGUGUCAGGGCCGGGGAGUGCUGUAGCAGCAAGAACAAGUCUAGGCACUGUUGUUAGAAUGCAGCGUGGGUCAGCAGGAAGAACAAGUCCCAGGCCCGUUUUUAUGAUUGUAGCCAACCAGGGAGUGGGACAGCCUCUGACCUUGUUCCAGGCACCUGUAGUGAGGUUCACAACUCCUGGUAGAGUCACAGCACCAUCUACAGCCCAAACAGUGAAACUACUCUGCGACUAGUUUACAUGCCUGUGGUAUCAUCCAAAGCAACACCCAUAGCACCAGUAUAGUAUCCAAACCCAUAGUAACACUAGUAAAUCCCUGACAAGUCUCACCCGUAGCAGCUAAACACAGUAGCAGCACCAGUCACCUCCAUGGCCAGACCAGACAUCACAACUAUGGCAGCACCAGUCACCUCCAUGGCCAGACCAGACAUCACAACUAUGGCAGCACCAGUCACCUCCAUGGCCAGACAUCACAACUAUGGCAGCACCAGUCACCUCCAUGGCCAGACAUCACAACUAUGGCAGCACCAGUAACUCCCAGGUGAAGACCAAACAGAAGAAAAUGUUUUAGUUAAAUUAUAUAUAGAACAGGGACAGGGAGGGACCCUUUUAGUUGCAAAAUGUUUUGCUACAGCGUGUAACCAAUUCACUCAGUCAUAGCUACUACUCCUCCAUGCUAACAGUUGGCUGAAGUAAACCCUGAUAUGAGUGUCAAUGAAAAGACCCACUGAAACAUCUCUCUAAAACAAAGUUUACUUACAAAUACCCAAAAGCCAUUGACAGUAAGAAUGUACACAGUGAUAAAUGCUAUUUGUAUGACCAAACAAACUGAUCAGAUAUACUUCAAGUUUCUUUCAUAAAGAGCCAUUCUAACAUGCAAACAAACACAGGAUGAAGAACUGAUGAUGUCACCAUGUUUAGGAUUACAAAUGUGUUAGUUUACUAUUCUAACAUUUAAUCCUCAGAACAUUUGAUUAAACAGUUAAGACUAUAAAA